Molecule: non-coding RNA, 32 nt
Filed under: Homo sapiens (human)
Lineage: Eukaryota; Metazoa; Chordata; Mammalia; Primates; Hominidae
Source: RNAcentral
UGAGGCUCAACCCAAAGAUGUUGUCAAGGUGU